RNAcentral lists this ribosomal RNA (275 nucleotides) under uncultured eukaryote. Its description in RNAcentral is "partial small subunit ribosomal RNA". It matches the Rfam family "Eukaryotic small subunit ribosomal RNA", at positions 587 to 865 of the family's 1831-position model. The record is from RNAcentral.
AGCUCCAAUAGCGUAUAUUAAAGUUGUUGCGGUUAAAAACGCUCGUAGUUGGUUUUCUGUCGGGGGUGACUGGUCGUCCCAAGUGGAUAGUACCUGCUUUGCUCCUGGCAUCUUCCAAGGGAACACGUUCGCACUUCACUGUGUGGCGUGAGAGCUUGGACUUUUACUUUGAGGAAAUAAGAGUGCUUCAAGCGGGUAAUUGCCACGAAUACGUUAGCAUGGAAUAAUAGUAUUGGACCUCGGACCGAAGCUGUUGGUUGCUGGAACGAGGGGAG